RNAcentral lists this ribosomal RNA (459 nucleotides) under uncultured bacterium. RNAcentral's name for it is "SSU rRNA". It matches the Rfam family "Bacterial small subunit ribosomal RNA", at positions 26 to 518 of the family's 1533-position model. The record is from RNAcentral.
AGAAUCAACGCUGGCGGCGUGCCUAACACAUGCAAGUCGAACGAGAAAGUGGAGCAAUCCAUGAGUAAAGUGGCGCACGGGUGAGUAACACGUGACUAACCUACCCUUGAGUGGGGAAUAACUUCGGGAAACCGAGGCUAAUACCGCAUAACACCUACGGGUCAAAGGAGCAAUUCGCUUAAGGAGGGGUCGCGGCAGAUUAGUUAGUUGGCGGGGUAAUGGCCCACCAAGACAGUGAUCUGUAUCCGGCCUGAGAGGGCGCACGGACACACCUGGAACUGAAACACGGUCCAGACUCCUACGGGAGGCAGCAGUGGGAAUUUUGCGCAAUGGGGGAAACCCUGACGCAGCAACGCCGCGUGGAGGAUGAAGUCUCUUGGGACGUAAACUCCUUUCGAUCGGGACGAUAAUGACGGUACCGGAAGAAGAAGCCCCGGCUAACUUCGCGCCAGCAGCCGC